Molecule: long non-coding RNA, 191 nt
Organism: Schistocerca americana (American grasshopper)
Lineage: Eukaryota; Metazoa; Arthropoda; Insecta; Orthoptera; Acrididae
Exons: 3
Source: RefSeq, a predicted model, not a curated record
CUGUGAUUGAAGCUCAGUGCACUGCUGGUGAUGACCACACAUUUGACAACCAUCCCAAAAUUGCAAGAGAGUUCUCGUGCCAUCAAGUCCAUUUGUUGGUGUUAUUGCAGAUGUGAUACAGAUCCGGUCGUAUGUAAAAAUUGAAGUACGUAAUGUCAGGUGUGCCACAAGUGUUUUGUCCCAGAGAAGGC